CUAGCGACAGGCUUAACACAUGCAAGUCGAGGGGCAGCACAGGUAGCAAUACCGGGUGGCGACCGGCGCACGGGUGAGUAACGCGUAUGCAACUUACCUAUCAGAGGGGGAUAACCCGGCGAAAGUCGGACUAAUACCGCAUGAAGCAGGGGCCCCGCAUGGGGAUAUUUGCUAAAGAUUCAUCGCUGAUAGAUAGGCAUGCGUUCCAUUAGGCAGUUGGCGGGGUAACGGCCCACCAAACCGACGAUGGAUAGGGGUUCUGAGAGGAAGGUCCCCCACAUUGGUACUGAGACACGGACCAAACUCCUACGGGAGGCAGCAGUGAGGAAUAUUGGUCAAUGGCCGAGAGGCUGAACCAGCCAAGUCGCGUGAGGGAUGAAGGUUCUAUGGAUCGUAAACCUCUUUUAUAAGGGAAUAAAGUGCGGGACGUGUCCCGUUUUGUAUGUACCUUAUGAAUAAGGAUCGGCUAACUCCGUGCCAGCAGCCGCGGUAAUACGGAGGAUCCGAGCGUUAUCCGGAUUUAUUGGGUUUAAAGGGUGCGUAGGCGGCCUUUUAAGUCAGCGGUGAAAGUCUGUGGCUCAACCAUAGAAUUGCCGUUGAAACUGGGGGGCUUGAGUAUGUUUGAGGCAGGCGGAAUGCGUGGUGUAGCGGUGAAAUGCAUAGAUAUCACGCAGAACCCCGAUUGCGAAGGCAGCCUGCCAAGCCAUUACUGACGCUGAUGCACGAAAGCGUGGGGAUCAAACAGGAUUAGAUACCCUGGUAGUCCACGCAGUAAACGAUGAUCACUAGCUGUUUGCGAUACACUGUAAGCGGCACAGCGAAAGCGUUAAGUGAUCCACCUGGGGAGUACGCCGGCAACGGUGAAACUCAAAGGAAUUGACGGGGGCCCGCACAAGCGGAGGAACAUGUGGUUUAAUUCGAUGAUACGCGAGGAACCUUACCCGGGUUUGAACGCAUUCGGACCGAGGUGGAAACACCUUUUCUAGCAAUAGCCGUUUGCGAGGUGCUGCAUGGUUGUCGUCAGCUCGUGCCGUGAGGUGUCGGCUUAAGUGCCAUAACGAGCGCAACCCUUGCCACUAGUUACUAACAGGUAAAGCUGAGGACUCUGGUGGGACUGCCAGCGUAAGCUGCGAGGAAGGCGGGGAUGACGUCAAAUCAGCACGGCCCUUACAUCCGGGGCGACACACGUGUUACAAUGGCGUGGACAAAGGGAAGCCACCUGGCGACAGGGAGCGAAUCCCCAAACCACGUCUCAGUUCGGGUCGGAGUCUGCAACCCGACUCCGUGAAGCUGGAUUCGCUAGUAAUCGCGCAUCAGCCAUGGCGCGGUGAAUACGUUCCCGGGCCUUGUACACACCGCCCGUCAAGCCAUGGGAGCCGGGGGUACCUGAAGUCCGUAACCGCGAGGAUCGGCCUAGGGUAAAACUGGUGACUGGGGCUAAGA
RNAcentral lists this ribosomal RNA (1443 nucleotides) under uncultured organism. RNAcentral describes it as "SSU rRNA". It matches the Rfam family "Bacterial small subunit ribosomal RNA". The record is from RNAcentral.